GACGAGCGCUGGCGGCGUGCCUAAUACAUGCAAGUCGAGCGAGCUUGCCUAGAUGAUUUUAGUGCUUGCACUAAAUGAAACUAGAUACAAGCGAGCGGCGGACGGGUGAGUAACGCGUGGGUAACCUGCCUCAUACAGGGGGAUAACGGUUAGAAAUGACUGCUAAUACCGCAUAAGCGCACAGUGCCGCAUGGUACGGUGUGAAAAACUCCGGUGGUAUGAGAUGGACCCGCGUCUGAUUAGCUAGUUGGUGAGGUAACGGCCCACCAAGGCGACGAUCAGUAGCCGACCUGAGAGGGUGACCGGCCACAUUGGGACUGAGACGCGGCCCAA
This 333-nucleotide ribosomal RNA is filed under the name uncultured bacterium. Its description in RNAcentral is "bacterial SSU rRNA". It matches the Rfam family "Bacterial small subunit ribosomal RNA", at positions 28 to 334 of the family's 1533-position model. The record is from RNAcentral.